UCCGCGCCUCAGAAGCAGCUCGCUCAAACUCAUUCACUAAGGAAACGCCCUUUGUGUCCACAGCUGGGUUCCCUCAUCCAGGCGCGCACACACGCACGCACUCGCGCGCUCGCAAAACUUCAGCCACAACUUCGGUUGUCAUUACGGUCCCAUCCCUGGGACGCAGACCCGGGCAGGAACACACUCUGGCCGAAUGGAGAUGGGCUGCCAUCUCAACUCAUUGAAAGUGCCGUCAGUUUAGCGGACGACCUGCAAACCGUGCUGGAAAGCUGGACCCGCGGUGAAGAGAGGAAGACCUCGGAGCUUUUGCGGUGCCCACCGCACCGGACAGACACAAAGCAGGACUCUUGUUUGAAUAACAAAAAGUUGAGAAAAGAAUAUGUACAGCCUUGGAUUCCUACAGAUUGUUGCUUGCAUUUACUCGACAUUCUCUUUUUGCAGACAUCAGUUUCUUCACAGAAUCCCUUUCCGCCUCCCCUGCCCGACUUUUUUGUAUUUCCAUUGUUUUUGACAUCAAGAACUUGGAAUGUUCCUACUUAAGAUUUUCCUAUCUUUUUCUAAGCUCAGAGGGAGGAAAGGGAAUCUGAGAAAUCUCUAGCAUUUAGCAAUUCAUCACAUCAGUCAUUUUCACACAAAAGCAAGGCAAACUUGAUUUUAAAGAUCUUCAAAAGUAACUCAGUAACUCUUGAGAGACCCAAACUUAAAGUUUUGCUUUCUAGUUAUGUUAGGACAGCAGACAUCCCAUUUGCUUUGAUAACAUAGAAAAGUCACUAGCAAACUAGGUUUAUUUCUGCAAGGUAUUUGUUUUCUCCAAAAGCUCCACCGUGGGGUAAUUUGAACAGCACUGUCUAUAGAGUGCCCAAACACAUUAAAGAUACAAACCUAGUAUUUGUUUUUAUUGGAGUAAGAAAUUCAGGAAAAAAACAUGACAGCAAAUGUCAGUUUCCCCUGAGGAGUGUAAAAUAACCUCUCCUCUGGAGGGGUCUUUGUCACCAGUAUUUCAAGUUGAAAAGAGUGUGGUGGAUUUCCCCAAAUUUAGAAUCCCAUCUGGGUUAGAGGUGUUUUUUUUGCUGUUGUUGUUGUUUGUUUUGUUUUGUUUUAUUUCUCACCAUCACCUGACAAAACAGUUUUCUUUUUCAAAUAUAAAAAGGUUCAUUGUAAAAUGCUAAGCAAAUUUCUGGGAAGAUGGGUGUUCCUUCCAGAAGAGAACAUACCUGGAAAUCAUGUGUAUAAGCAAGAUAAACCUGAAGCGAAAGCUUUCUUAAAAACACAUAGAUUUGAUAUAUUUUUUUAAAAAAAUAGUAUGGGUUGGGGGAAAAAUACACCAAAUGUAAGAUAAGGACUGUCGUUGGUAGUAAUAUUUUGACGAUGCUCUUGCACAGUUUGUAACAAACGUUUCACACCAAUGCAAAGAGUUGGUGGAGGGGUGAUGUAUGAGACCCCUGUGUGACGUUAUGUAUGCUUAUUUUGUAAGCUCACAAUCUUUACUGUACACUUAUUGUUUAUGUGUGUUCAUGUAUGAAUGAUAUACUUCAAUAAAAAAAUUGUUCAAAAAUACAAGAUUAGGGGGGAGGAUAUAAAAGUGGCUAGAAAAUAUUUUGUCAAUCAAAAGCAUGAAAGUUUGAUACAUUUGCUGUACUGAAAAUACAGAAUUUCAUAAAUAAGUGUGUGUGUGUGUGUGUGUAUAUAUAUAUAUGUAUGUAUUUGGGGAGGCC
Molecule: long non-coding RNA, 1715 nt
Organism: Dasypus novemcinctus (nine-banded armadillo)
Lineage: Eukaryota; Metazoa; Chordata; Mammalia; Cingulata; Dasypodidae
Source: Ensembl